This 403-nucleotide ribosomal RNA is filed under the name uncultured bacterium. RNAcentral describes it as "partial 16S ribosomal RNA". It matches the Rfam family "Bacterial small subunit ribosomal RNA", at positions 28 to 526 of the family's 1533-position model. The record is from RNAcentral.
GACGAACGCUGGCGGCGUGCCUAAUACAUGCAAGUCGAACGCAGUGGGGACGGGUGAGUAACACGUGGGUAACCUCCCAUCAGAGGGGAUAACACGUGGAAACAGGUGCUAAACCGAUACUGAUGGAUGGACCCGCGGUGAAUUAGCUAGUUGGUGAGGUAACGGCUCACCAAGGCAACGAUGCAUAGCCGACCUGAGAGGGGGUUCGGCCACACGGCGACGGAGACACGGCCCUGCGGCCUACGGUAGGUAGCAGUAGGGAAUCUUCGGGAAUGAACUAACGUCUGACCGCGCAACGCCGCGUUAGUGAGGCGGUUUUUCGGAUCUUAAAACUCUUUUGUUAGAGAAGCUGUAUCUAACCAGAAAGCCACGGCUAACUACGUGCCAGCAGCCGCGGUAAUUC